UGCGUGUUAUCUAGGUUAUCUAGUCUUCAUUCUGAGAAAUUGUAGUCUGCCCUUCCAUGAAACAUUUAAAUAUUUCUUUACAAAAACUCAAUAACUCUAAAAUAAAAAUUUGAAUCAUCACCAAAAAGUAUACAGAUCUUUAGAUUAAUAUAAUUAAGAAGUGUGUAAAGUUUUAAGCAAUAAUCAUGAAUCGUGUUUGAG
RNAcentral lists this long non-coding RNA (201 nucleotides) under Mytilus galloprovincialis (Mediterranean mussel). Lineage: Eukaryota; Metazoa; Mollusca; Bivalvia; Mytilida; Mytilidae. The record is from RNAcentral.